UACGGAGGGAGCUAGCGUUAUUCGGAAUUACUGGGCGUAAAGCGCACGUAGGCGGCUUUGUAAGUAAGAGGUGAAAGCCCAGAGCUCAACUCUGGAAUUGCCUUUUAGACUGCAUCGCUUGAAUCAUGGAGAGGUCAGUGGAAUUCCGAGUGUAGAGGUGAAAUUCGUAGAUAUUCGGAAGAACACCAGUGGCGAAGGCGGCUGACUGGACAUGUAUUGACGCUGAGGUGCGAAAGCGUGGGAGCAAACAGG
Molecule: ribosomal RNA, 252 nt
Filed under: uncultured bacterium
Lineage: Bacteria
Description: partial 16S ribosomal RNA
Rfam family: Bacterial small subunit ribosomal RNA
Source: RNAcentral